CGCAAUUUAAAGCAAUUUAUUUUGUGAUUAUCCAGCAGUCAGCAGAUGGCAUAGUAGCCAAACGCCCAUCGUAAUGGAUGGGACACGGUGAAGGCC
Non-coding RNA from Catenovulum agarivorans DS-2, 96 nucleotides. NCBI's taxonomy places the organism in Bacteria, Pseudomonadati, Pseudomonadota, Gammaproteobacteria, Alteromonadales, Alteromonadaceae. The record is from Rfam.